CCUACGGGUGGCUGCAGUAGGGAAUAUUGGACAAUGGGCGCAAGCCUGAUCCGGCCAUGCCGCGUGAGUGAAGAAGGCCCUCGGGUUGUAAAGCUCUUUUGUCCGGAAAGAAAAGCAAUCGGUUAAUACCCGGUUGUUCUGACGGUACCGGAAGAAUAAGCACCGGCUAACUUCGUGCCAGCAGCCGCGGUAAUACGAAGGGUACAAGCGUUACUCGGAGUUUCUGGGCGUAGAGCGUGAGUAGUGAUGUGAAAGCCCUGGGCUCAACCUGGGAAUGGCAUUGGAUACUGGCGGGCUAGAGUGCGGUAGAGGGUAGUGGAAUUCCCGGUGUAGCAGUGAAAUGCGUAGAGAUCGGGAGGAACAUCUGUGGCGAAGGCGACUGCCUGGACCAGCACUGACACUGAGGCACGAAAGCGUGGGGAGCAAACAGGAUUAGAUACCCGGGUAGUC
RNAcentral lists this ribosomal RNA (450 nucleotides) under uncultured bacterium. RNAcentral's name for it is "partial 16S ribosomal RNA". It matches the Rfam family "Bacterial small subunit ribosomal RNA", at positions 338 to 795 of the family's 1533-position model. The record is from RNAcentral.